GCAGGACCUGACGGAGCCUGGGCAGACGGACAUGUCCAAACUCUCAACAUCUGGCCAAAUGGUGUCUGAUGUGGGCUCCAUGAGAUGAGAACAGGGCACGCCUGAGGAACUGCAGGCACCCCGGAAAAUGACCUCAGCUUGGUGAACUGAGGUCUCUGUGGCCACUGAACCUGCAGGUGACCCCCUAGCCUCUAGAUCCUUCUGCGGACCAGAGAUAAGAAAACUGUGGCCCCGGAAGAGGAAGGAUUUGCUCAGGAUGGAUGCUAGCCCCAACUUCACGUGCCUCAGUCCCUGUGCCUCCCCACAGGCUGCAGCAACUGUUCCGAGGCAGGCAGGACACAGGUGCCUGACUGGUCACUGCCUCAGCCUCUUCUCAAGUGCCUUCUGGGGUGACAAGAACAAUCCAACAGCCCUGGAGGAAGCCAGGAUAUAGCAGCUGGCAGCAGCAGGAGCCAAAGGCUUAUUGCCAAACUUCCAGUGAGAAGAGAGACAUUUAACCAGUGUCUCCGGAUCCAAGAAAGAUUCUGAAUCCCACCUACCUUCAGAUCUGGGCAAAUUCCUGGGACCUGAUCCUCACAGUCAGCUCCAUGGGUAGACUUCAAAGGGCUGAUCCCAAGCUCAAGGA
Molecule: non-coding RNA, 625 nt
Organism: Odocoileus virginianus texanus
Lineage: Eukaryota; Metazoa; Chordata; Mammalia; Artiodactyla; Cervidae
Source: RefSeq, a predicted model, not a curated record